UACAAUGUUUUGACUCUUCGUUUUAUUUGAAUUUUUUUUGCGAUUAAUAUUUUUGUUCUUCCUAAAUGAUAAAAUAUAAAUAGUACUUUAUACGUGACUAAUUUUUUUUUAAGUUUGUGUAUAAAAUUUUUAAAUAAGACGAAUGGUCAAACGUUGAAAACGGAAAAACA
This 170-nucleotide microRNA precursor is filed under the name Oryza brachyantha (malo sina). Its description in RNAcentral is "MIR812 microRNA precursor family". It matches the Rfam family "MIR812 microRNA precursor family", at positions 27 to 191 of the family's 205-position model. The record is from Rfam by way of RNAcentral. Lineage: Eukaryota; Viridiplantae; Streptophyta; Magnoliopsida; Poales; Poaceae.